GACGAACGCUGGCGGCGUGCUUAACACAUGCAAGUCGAACGGUGAAGGGACCAGCUUGCUGGUUCUGGAUGAGUGGCGAACGGGUGAGUAACACGUGAGUAACCUGCCCCCUUCUUCUGGAUAACCGCAUGAAAGUGUGGCUAAUACGGGAUAUUCUGGGUCUGUCGCAUGGCGGGCCCGGGAAAGAUAUUGCUUCGGUGGGGGAUGGGCUCGCGGCCUAUCAGCUUGUUGGUGGGGUGAUGGCCUACCAAGGCGGUGACGGGUAGCCGGCCUGAGAGGGUGGACGGUCACACUGGGACUGAGACACGGCCCAGACUCCUACGGGAGGCAGCAGUGGGGAAUAUUGCACAAUGGGCGCAAGCCUGAUGCAGCGACGCCGCGUGAGGGAUGGAGGCCUUCGGGUUGUAGACCUCUUUCGCCAGUGAAGCAGGCCUGCUCCUUGUGGGUGGGUUGACGGUAGCUGGAUAAGAAGCGCCGGCUAACUACGUG
This 489-nucleotide ribosomal RNA is filed under the name uncultured bacterium. RNAcentral describes it as "partial 16S ribosomal RNA". It matches the Rfam family "Bacterial small subunit ribosomal RNA", at positions 28 to 507 of the family's 1533-position model. The record is from RNAcentral.